Molecule: ribosomal RNA, 475 nt
Filed under: uncultured bacterium
Lineage: Bacteria
Description: bacterial SSU rRNA
Rfam family: Bacterial small subunit ribosomal RNA
Source: RNAcentral
AACGAACGCUGGCGGCAUGCCUAACACAUGCAAGUCGAACGAGACCUUCGGGUCUAGUGGCGCACGGGUGCGUAACGCGUGGGAAUCUGCCCCUUGGUUCGGAAUAACUUCGGGAAACUGAAGCUAAUACCGGAUAAUGACGUAAGUCCAAAGAUUUAUCGCCAAGGGAUGAGCCCGCGUAGGAUUAGCUAGUUGGUGGGGUAAAGGCUCACCAAGGCGACGAUCCUUAGCUGGUCUGAGGGGAUGAUCAGCCACACUGGGACUGAGACGCGGCCCAGACUCCUACGGGAGGCAGCAGUGGGGAAUAUUGGACAAUGGGCGAAAGCCUGAUCCAGCAAUGCCGCGUGAGUGAUGAAGGCCUUAGGGUUGUAAACUGCUUUUGUACGGAACGAAACGCCUCUGGUUAAUACCUGGGGGUAAUGACGGUACCGUAAGAAUAAGCCCCGGCUAACUCCGUGCCAGCAGCCGCGGUAAU